CAUGGUGACCACGGACAAUUUUUUUACCUCUUUACCGCUAGUGGAAGCGCUGAAGAAGAAGAAAAUUGCUUUAGUGGGCACCCUAAGAAAAUAUAAAGGGGAGCUCCCUUCAGCACUACUGACAAUAACAAACAGGCAGCCACUAUCAAGAGGGAAGAAUGUCCUUGUCCUCAGCACAAGACACUGCGACCCAGAGGUUCCGGAGGGCAAAGGCAAGAAGCCGCAGAUAGUGCUGGACUAUAACAAGUGCAAGGGUGCAGUUGACCAUUUGGACCAGAUUUGUGGUUCUUACUCCUGGCGCCGGCGGGCGCUAAGGUGGCCCAUAUGUUUGUUUCACCAUACUGGACAUUUCAGCGUACAACGCGUUUGUGUUGUUUACACACGUGGAGCCUGAAUGGAACAAGCAAAAACUUUUCAAAAGGUGUCUCUUUCAUGAAGAGUUAGCCAAGACUGAAGGAAUUCGCCCCCCCCGCCAAGCUCUGGAAACGGCGACAGCUGAACGAAGUGCCGCUCUGCUGAUGCUGCAUCCGUGAGUCAACCGGUGGGGGCCAAUAUUCCGUGCGUUCCCUUCCUGUGUACUGACUCCAUGUUCCAAAAGUUUGAAGAAGGCUCACCGAAAACAGGUUGACAAUUUAUUCGUUGACAAUGGUCAAAAAACAAGGCAAAAACAGAGGAACAAUGCUGGCUCCAGGGUCGUUAAAACAAUGGCUACAUAGCAAUGUUUCCGAGCAGCGAAGCGUUUGUUAUCUCAGUGUCCAGUCUUUUUGAAAGCUGCGGUGGAGUGGGCCGGGCCAAAGGUGUGGCUGGGUGUUGUCUUGGGAUGAUCCCCCUUGGCCAGUUUUGGGCGGUUAGGUCCAUGCAUGGCUGGGACGUGGUUGCCACAGCGACCGGCGCUGGUCUUGACGUCCCAAGCGCCCGCUAUCAACUUUGUUAUCCUGGCUGGGCGAAACGCUCCUUGUUUUAGAACAUUGCUUGGAGUGGCCGGGAGAACUGAUUGCAAGAAUUGGUGCGUCAAUCUUGCCCAUGACGCACAGUUGGGCUUCUGUGAUAAGAUGGCGUUGUGUAUCUAUUCUGCUUCUUUUCAUUAAACUAUGGUGUGCUACUUGUUUUAUAUUCGGUGUUUUAGAGUAGUACAACAAUCCUACAGUACAUAUGAGAAAUGAUACUAUUCCCUGAUUGAUUGAAUUACGGUUGUUAGAGUAAUGCAAACAGUUAAACGGUGCUUACGAGAAACGGUUCCAUCUUUUUCAUUUCCCCCUCAUGAGCCCCAACAGGGCUGAUAAGGUGAUUCACUUUACUGUGUCCAAAGGCAUGGAGUGAAGUCUACCUAAACUAUAGUUAGAUGCUUAACUAUAAUGAAUGUGUUAGACUAAUACAAACAAUUAUAUGGUGUGUGCGAGAAAUUGAACUAUUCCCUUCAACUCUGAUCAUGCCGGAAGUGACCUGCAGAAAGAGGAGGUGGUUAGAAGAGCCUGAAGCAGAAGGUGAUGCUAAGCGGCCAGCUGCGGUUCCACUACCAGCCCCAGUGAAGCCGCAAGUGACCCGCAGAAAGAGGAAGCGGUCAGAAGAGCCUGCAGCAGAAAGUGAGGCUGAGCAGCGAGCUGCGGUUCCAUCACCAGCCCCAGUGAGGCCGCAAUUGAGAAGGAGGCAGUGUGGCCUCUGCAAAGUAAAAUUGCAGGCUAAACACUCCUGUGCAACAUGCGGGGUUGCUAUUUGCAACAAGCACACAAAGAGAAAGUUAGUAGUUUACAUAUUAGAUAAAAAGAAUAUAAACGGUCAUUUUAGUAGUUGCUGUGUGCUCUUGUUAAAAGGGCAAAUCUCGAAAGCAGAACGGUUUGUUUAUCUCGGUCCAUGAUGCUUUUUUGUCGACAGCCGUUAGACAGCGGCGAAAACAUUAGUGUUGUAUCGGUCGCGAACGAUUCGUUCUUUUUGAACGAAUUGUUUGUGUGAACGAGACCGAACUAAUCACCAUCUGCACUGAUUCGUUCUAUGAAGUUGGUGCUUGUUCACUGCGUGGGAGGGCGUUGAGCAAGCGGCAGCGUCUUCUGACAUCGCACACGACCAAUCAGACGCCAGCCUCAUCGCAGGCAGGGGAGGGACCGGAAACAGAAUCAGGGCGUAUGUCACUCACUUCCACGUGUGGCCAAUGAGCAGCCAGCGUGCAGGCAGGGGGGCAAGACUGAGUUUUGUCACUUCCCGUUCAGUGACUCGGUCCUCCGGCUCCUGACCUAGCUUGCUGCUAACUUGUCUUUCCAGUAAUGACUAUGCGGUGAACGAAUCAAAAAAUGAAAGGAAAGGACUUUGUCACAUAUUUGUUAACGUGGAGCCUAUCAAAUGCAGCUCAAAAAGACAAAAACACCACACAAAUCUAGCGAGCAUGGUUUAGUGUACUACUUUUCUCAACAGACUCGCGACUACCUAUUACGACAUACUAUCAAAUUUACAGUAAUUUAAAACACGGGUAGCUACGAAGCAAGCAAAAGCUGAGCUGCGGUCGCGUGACGGCAAUGAAGGGGGCAAAGAACUGUCACUAUAUGGAGGCUUCAUGGCAGCGAUAUUUACCUCAUAUGUGCACAGAAAAAAAGAAUAUUUAGUAUGAUCACCAUAAUACUGAUUUACAAUGAAACGGUAUAUACAUGUCCAUUUUUUCCAAGUGUUUUAUUUUUUUUUUUUUCGUGUCAGGUGUUGGUUGGUUUGACAAAUUAUGUCAAUCCGUCCAUCAUGUGCUACUCAAGCGCCCCAAAACAACGCACAUGGACACGGGAGAUGUCGCAAUAUGUCUACAUUUUUCUUAACAGACUAAUGAGAGUAGAAAGGCGAUAUCGUAAAGAGCAAACAAUUAUUUCUCGUCAGCAUUUGACGAUCUGAGAUGCGGGGACGACAGGGGAGCUGACCGGAUUAUUUUAUUUAUUAAUACCAGUGUAAAAAUUCAAUCCGAUCACCAUAAUACUGAUUUGCAAUGAAACUGUAUAUACAUGUCAAUUUUUUCCGAGUGUGGAUUAUUUUAUUUAUUAAUACCAGUGCAAAAAUUCAAUCCGAUCACCAUAAUACUGAUUUGCAAUGAAACUGUAUAUACAUGUCAAUUUUUUCCGAGUGUUUUAUUUUUUUUUUUCGUGUCAGAGCGUGUCGGUUGGUUUGACAAAUUAUGUCAAUCCGUCCAUCAUGCGCUACUCAAGCGCCCCAAAACAACGCACGCGGACACGGGAGAUGUCGCAAUAUGUCUACAUUUUUCUUAACAGACUAAUGAGGGUAGAAAGGCGACAUCGUAAAGAGCAAGCAAUCAUUUCUCUUCAGCAUUUGACGAGCUGAGAUGCGGGGACGACAGGGGAGUUGACCGGAUUAUUUUAUUUAUUAAUACCAGUGCAAAAAUUCAAUACGAUCAUCUUAAUACUGAUUUGCAAUUAAACUCAAAUAUCAAAAUGUAGUAUUGUCUUUAUUUCAGAGCAGCACAUUCGACAACUAGCUAUUUACACUUAUAGUUUUAACAAUAGUGACUAAAAAUAAUAGUGAUGAGCAUAAAAACAAAAAUACAACAGAGCGAGAGGUAAAUAUGAUGUGUUGGUCGUUCCAUAUUUAUAAAUUAAACUUUCGAUUUAUUUUUAUUUUCGUGACAGCAAGCAUGCUGCGUUAAAUGUGAUCAAGAACAUGCCAAGUCCGUGCGCCCCCGACCCCAACCCCCCGCUCCCCCCACAAAAGGAAAAUGUUUAACCGUGUCCUCAAUCGAAAUGCAAGCACGAGCCAUGACUUUGAGCCUAUAGAACUAGGACAGACGGCGCGGAAGUUCUCCUUCGCUUUUGCAGCAGCGGGAGGGAGGGAGAUGAGGCUGUCUGUGUCGCUUUUGCAGCAGCGGGAGGGAGGGAGACGAGGCUGUCUGUGAAAGCAGAAUGAUAUUGCCUGUCACUCAUUACUGAAACUACGACGAAUGGUCAAUGUGUGCAAGAGAGGGAGGGACCAAGAAUGUCACUUCCCGUUCAGUUAUACUGCGAAGCGGUCUUUGGUGAUUCGUUCGGCAACGUCACUUCCCGUUCACUAACCGAACGAUUCAUUUGGGCGGGGAGGGAGAUGAGGGGGGCGAACGAUUCGUUGAACGAUUCGUUUGAACGAAUCUUUUUACUGAACGAUCCGGAAUGGAUUCGUUUACUCAAGUGAACGACAAAUCCCGUCACUAGAAAACAUCAAUAUGAUGCCAACAUGAUCGCAGACAUCAUCAGACAGAGACUACAAAGCUCGUCGCCACAUUUGCGCAACAACAGGUGCUGUGCCGAGAAAUAGCCACCCUGUGUGAAAUGUCCCCCCUGACGGGAGCGCCCACACGUAAACGGCUUUCUUGUUCCAUGAAUAUGUAUUAUUUUACUGUGCUUGAACAAAUAAAUGUUAUACCUGUGUGAUUGUCAUUGGGAUAUGGUCGUGAAAACCUGUAGACUAAUACAUUUCUGUUCAAAGAUGGUUAUGUGGCCCAGUCCAGGGCCUUAGAAAGAGGGUUACGACACUCCCAUAGAGAUCCAUUAUACGAUUUUACUUCCGGGUACUUCCGGGUUACGGAGCCUCGUGUAGUUCCAAACAUGGCUUCGAUGAGAGCGGACCGCAUUCAUACGAUGUAAAGUAUAUUCGGAGGUUACUUUUUCAUGAUCCACAUCAUGCUGCUGUCGGUCUACGUUCCUACCCUAACCUAUAGUCACGACCCAGGACACGCUGGAGAGACUGUGUCUCGGCUGGCCUGGGAACGCCUUGGGACCUCGCCGGAGGAGCUGGAUGAAGUGGCUGGGGAGAGGGAAGUCUGGGCUUCCCUGUUAAAGCUGCUGCCCCCGCGACCAGACACCAGAGCAAGUGGAAGAUGAUGGAUGGAUGGACAUCAUGCUGCUGGUGGUGCCUGCUGAUGGUGACUGCUGGCUGUGCGCACUAAGCCCAUUUUUUAAAUGGCAACAAACAAACAAAAAAAAGCAUUUUUUUUCAUGUUUUGACGACUGACCAUUGCCAUUCAUUUUUUUUCUGCUGCUCAUGGUCCAUGGGGAAACCAUGCUGCACACAAACCAUCACAGGUCACUGAUCUAAAAAAUGUUAGGUGUAAACAAUGAACCAUGACACCAAUUUCACCAAUUUUUCCAUAAAUAUUGUGAUUUUCUUUAUCAAAGGUAAUAAGUUGUUAUUGUUAUACAUUGCACCAUGUUGAGGAAAAUCAUAAGAUGUUUUUCCUGUCUUGUCUUUGUGUUGCUUGGGUCCAAAAUGAAAAAUGCCUCUAAAGAGGUACAGGUUUGGUUUUGCUAAAAUUAGGGGCUAUAUUCAAAAUUUAGUUGUUUUGCACUGUUAAAUGUCAUUUGUUUGUGUUUCAGGUCAAACUAAGGGCCCAAGUACACCACAUGCGUGAUCGUUGCGUUUCCGGUCCGACUCCGGUAAAAAAUAGCGCCGGAGCCAAUCCGUUCCCAUUAUAUCCUAUUGUUCAACGUAUACCGGCCGCGUCAGUGCUCCGGAUUGACUGCGAACCACCUCCGGCGUGCCGCAUGCCCGCCGGAUGGUAUAGGCUAUUUUCUAUUUCUGCCGGACACGCAUCCGAUAAAAUGGGCGGAGCUGGGCCUGACGUCAAAAGCCCAGGUGCCUAAUCACGGUUUAAACACGAGCGAAAAUGGAUGAUGAGCGCUUCAUCAUGGAGGUGGAAAGUCACAAAGUGAUAUACAUGCAGCAGAUAUUACUAUAAGGACACCAUUAAAAGCGAAACUGCAAAGUGUCCUAUUAUGUGUGUUUUUCUGGCAAUUAUAUCAAACACGACGUGCUAAGCAAAAAAACAAAAAAAAAAGACAGCGUAUCUGGAAGUGGUUCCACUGCGGAAAUUCUCGUGCCCCGCGCACAAACAAUCUCGGUUUGUAUACAGAGUCGAGGGGGGCAAGUACGAAAGAGAAAAAAGAGACACCCACAAGUUUCGACCUGGUGGUCUAUUCAAGACGUUUCUCUUUCUUUCCUACAUUUCACUUGACUCUUCAUAGAAAAAACAACAGUUUGCGCUGGCCACAUGAAUCUGCAGUGUUGAGACACCAAUUCCAAGUACGCUGUUUUUUUAGUUCGUGUCGAAUAUAAUUCGCUAUCCAUUUUAUAAACAUGACAGAUUAUUUAUCAGUUGUUUAUAACAGCUCUAUGAGAUGUUAUGUGCCAUAAAUUUUAA
This is a long non-coding RNA of Corythoichthys intestinalis (scribbled pipefish), 6154 nucleotides long. RefSeq lists it as uncharacterized. The transcript has 4 exons. The record is from RefSeq and is a predicted model, not a curated record. Lineage: Eukaryota; Metazoa; Chordata; Actinopteri; Syngnathiformes; Syngnathidae.